This 71-nucleotide transfer RNA is filed under the name Anolis humilis (humble anole). RNAcentral describes it as "tRNA-Asx". It matches the Rfam family "tRNA". From Rfam's summary of the family: Transfer RNA (tRNA) molecules are approximately 80 nucleotides in length. The record is from RNAcentral. Lineage: Eukaryota; Metazoa; Chordata; Lepidosauria; Squamata; Anolidae.
CGAGUAGAAGCCCGCUGGUUAGGGUAGUUAGCUGUUAACUAAUUUUUGUGGGAUCAAGGCCCACUUGCUCC